This is a non-coding RNA of Acanthosepion pharaonis, 99 nucleotides long. Lineage: Eukaryota; Metazoa; Mollusca; Cephalopoda; Sepiida; Sepiidae. The record is from the annotation of a GenBank genome assembly.
CAUUGAAACACCUUUUCCCAUACAAUCACCAAAGUUAAGCAUCAUUGAAGCCUGGUCAGUACCUAUGUGGGUAACAGCUUGGGAAUACCAGGUGGUGUA